Gallus gallus (chicken) is the source of this 7897-nucleotide long non-coding RNA. NCBI's taxonomy places the organism in Eukaryota, Metazoa, Chordata, Aves, Galliformes, Phasianidae. The record is from Ensembl.
UUCUAAAGAGGAAACGCGUGAUUUUUGGGUUAAAUGGGGGAUUUGCGAAGAGAAAACGCGUGAUUUUCGCUUAAAUGGGGGAUUCUCGAAGAGAAAACGCAUGAUUUUUGGGUUAAAUGGGGGAUUCUCGAAGAGAAAACGCGUUAUUUUCGGCUUAAAUGGGGGAUUUGCGAAGAGAAAACGCAUGAUUUUCGCUUAAAUGGGGGAUUUGCGAAGAGAAAACGCGUGAUUUUUGCUUAAAUGGGGGAUUUGCGAAGAGAAAACGCAUGAUUUUCGCUUAAAUGGGGGAUUUGCGAAGAGAAAACGCGUGAUUUUCGGUUAAAUGGGGGAUUUGCGAAGAGAAAACGCGUGAUUUUUGCUUAAAUGGGGGAUUCUCGAAGAGAAAACGCGUGUUUUUCGGGUUCAAUGGGGGAUUCUCGAAGAGAAAACGCGUGAUUUUCGGGUUAAAUGGGGGAUUUGCGAAGAGAAAACGCGUGAUUUUCACUUAAAUGGGGGAUUCUCGAAGAGAAAACGCGUGAUUUUCGCUUAAAUGGGGGAUUUGCGAAGAGAAAACGCGUGAUUUUUGCUUAAAUGGGGGAUUUGUGAAGAGAAAACGCGUGAUUUUCGCUUAAAUGGGGGAUUUGCGAAGAGAAAACGCGUGAUUUUCGGGUUAAAUGGGGGAUUUGCGAAGAGAAAAUAUGUGAUUUUUGGGUUAAAUGGGGGAUUUGCGAAGAGAAAACGCGUGAUUUUCGCUUAAAUGGGGGAUUUGUGAAGAGAAAACGCGUGAUUUUCGGGUUAAAUGGGGGAUUUGCGAAGAGAAAACGCGUGAUUUUCGGGUUAACUGGGGGAUUUGCGAAGAGAAAACGCGUGAUUUUCGGUUAAAUGGGGGAUUUGCGAAGAGAAAACGCGUGAUUUUUGCUUAAAUGGGGGAUUUGCGAAGAGAAAACGUGUGUUUUUCGGGUUCAAUGGGGGAUUCUCGAAGAGAAAACGCGUGAUUUUCGGGUUAAAUGGGGGAUUUGCGAAGAGAAAACGCGUGAUUUUCACUUAAAUGGGGGAUUCUCGAAGAGAAAACGCGUGAUUUUCGGGUAACAUGGGGGAUUUGCGAAGAGAAAACGCGUGAUUUUUGCUUAAAUGGGGGAUUUGCGACGAGAAAACGCGUGAUUUUCGGGUUAAAUGGGGGAUUUGCAAAGAGAAAACGCGUGAUUUUCGGGUUAAAUGGGGGAUUUGCGAAGAGAAAACGCGUGAUUUUCGGGUUAAAUGGGGGAUUUGCGAAGAGAAAACGCGUGAUGUUCGCUUAAAUGGGGGAUUUGCGAAGAGAAAACGCGUGAUUUUCGCUUAAAUGGGGGAUUUGCGAAGAGAAAACGCGUGAUUUUUCGCUUAAAUGGGGGAUUUGCGAAGAGAAAACGCGUGAUUUUCGGGUUAAAUGGGGGAUUUGCGAAGAGAAAACGCGUGAUUUUCGCUUAAAUGGGAGAUUUGCAAAGAGAAAACGCGUGAUUUUCGAUUAAAUGGGGGAUGUGCGAAGAGAAAACGCGUGAUUUUUGGGUUAAAUCGGGGAUUUGCGAAGAGAAAAUGCGUGAUUUUUGCUUAAAUGGGGGAUUUGCGAAGAGAAAACGCGUGAUUUUCGGGUUAAAUGGGGGAUUCUCGAAGAGAAAACGUGUGAUUUUCGGGUUAAAUGGGGGAUUCUCGAAGAGAAAACGCGUGAUUUUUGGGUUAAAUGGGGGAUUUGCGAAGCGAAUACGCGUGAUUUUCGCUUAAAUGGGGGAUUUGCGAAGAGAAAACGCGUGAUUUUCGCUUAAAUGGGGGAUUCUCAAAGAGAAAACGCGUGAUUUUCGGGUUAAAUGGGGGAUUUGCGACGAGAAAACGCGUGAUUUUUGCUUAAAUGGGGGAUUUGCAAAGAGAAAACGCGUGAUUUUCGGGUUAAAUGGGGGAUUCUCAAAGAGAAAACGCGUGAUUUUUGGUUAAAUGGGGGAUUCUCGAAGAGAAAACGCGUGAUUUUUGCAUAAAUGGGGGAUUUGCGAAGAGAAAACGCGUGGUUUUCGGGUUAAAUGGGGGAUUUGCGAAGAGAAAACGCGUGAUUUUCGCUUAAAUGGGGGAUUUGCGAAGAGAAAACGCGUGAUGUUCGCUUAAAUGGGGGAUUUGCGAAGAGAAAACGCGUGAUUUUCGCUAAAAUGGGGGAUUUGCGAAGAGAAUACGCGUGAUUUUUCGCUUAAAUGGGGGAUUUGCGAAGAGAAAACGUGUGAUUUUCGCUUAAAUGGGAGAUUUGCAAAGAGAAAAUGCGUGAUUUUCGGGUUAAAUGGAAAAUUCUCGAAGAGAAAACGCGUGAUUUUUGCUUAAAUGGGGGAUUUGCGAAGAGAAAACGCGUGAUUUUUGCUUAAAUGGGGGAUUUGCGAAGAGAAAAUGCGUGAUUUUUAAGUUAAAGUGGGGAUUCUAAAGAGGAAACGCGUGAUUUUCGGGUUAAAUGGGGGAUUUGCGAAGAGAAAACGCGUGAUUUUCGCUUAAAUGGGGGAUUCUCGAAGAGAAAACGCAUGAUUUUUGGGUUAAAUGGGGGAUUCUCGAAGAGAAAACGCGUGAUUUUCGGCUUAAAUGGGGGAUUUGCGAAGAGAAAACGCAUGAUUUUCGCUUAAAUGGGGGAUUUGCGAAGAGAAAACGCGUGAUUUUUGGUUAAAUGGGGGAUUUGCGAAGAGAAAACGCGUGAUUUUUGCUUAAAUGGGGGAUUUGCGAAGAGAAAACGUGUGUUUUUCGGGUUCAAUGGGGGAUUCUCGAAGAGAAAACGCGUGAUUUUCGGGUUAAAUGGGGGAUUUGCGAAGAGAAAACGCGUGAUUUUCACUUAAAUGGGGGAUUCUCGAAGAGAAAACGCGUGAUUUUCGGGUAACAUGGGGGAUUUGCGAAGAGAAAACGCGUGAUUUUUGCUUAAAUGGGGGAUUUGCGACGAGAAAACGCGUGAUUUUUGCUUAAAUGGGGGAUUUGCGAAGAGAAAACGCGUGAUUUUCGGGUUAAAUGGGGGAUUUGCGAAGAGAAAACGCUUGAUUUUCGGGUUAAAUGGGGGAUUUGCGAAGAGAAAACGCGUGAUUUUCGGGUUAAAUGGGGGAUUUGCGAAGAGAAAACGCGUGAUGUUCGCUUAAAUGGGGGAUUUGCGAAGAGAAAACGCGUGAUUUUCGCUAAAAUGGGGGAUUUGCGAAGAGAAUACGCGUGAUUUUUCGCUUAAAUGGGGGAUUUGCGAAGAGAAAACGCGUGAUUUUCGCUUAAAUGGGGGAUUUGCGAAGAGAAAACGUGUGAUUUUCGCUUAAAUGGGAGAUUUGCAAAGAGAAAAUGCGUGAUUUUCCCUUAAAUGGAAAAUUCUCGAAGAGAAAACGCGUGAUUUUCGGGUUAAAUGGGGGAUUUGCGAAAAGAAAACGCGUGAUUUUUGCUUAAAUGGGGGAUUUGCGAAGAGAAAAUGCGUGAUUUUUAAGUUAAAGUGGGGAUUCUAAAGAGGAAACGCGUGAUUUUCGGGUUAAAUGGGGGAUUUGCGAAGAGAAAACGCGUGAUUUUCGCUUAAAUGGGGGAUUCUCGAAGAGAAAACGCAUGAUUUUUGGGUUAAAUGGGGGAUUCUCGAAGAGAAAACGCGUUAUUUUCGGCUUAAAUGGGGGAUUUGCGAAGAGAAAACGCAUGAUUUUCGCUUAAAUGGGGGAUUUGCGAAGAGAAAACGCGUGAUUUUCGCUUAAAUGGGGGAUUUGCGAAGAGAAAACGCGUGAUUUUCGCUUAAAUGGGGGAUUUGCGAAGAGAAAACGUGUGAUUUUCGGCUUAAAUGGGGGAUUCUCGAAGAGAAAACGCGUGAUUUUCGGGUUAAAUGGGGGAUUUGCGAAGAGAAAACGCGUGAUUUUCACUUAAAUGGGGGAUUCUCGAAGAGAAAACGCGUGAUUUUCGGGUAAAAUGGGGGAUUUGCGAAGAGAAAACGCGUGAUUUUUGCUUAAAUGGGGGAUUUGCGAAGAGAAAACGCGUGAUUUUGCUUAAAUGGGGGAUUUGCGAAGAGAAAACGCGUGAUUUUCGGGUUAAAUGGGGGAUUUGCGAAGAGAAAACGCGUGAUUUUCGGGUUAAAUGGGGGAUUUGCGAAGAGAAAACGCGUGAUGUUCGCUUAAAUGGGGGAUUUGCGAAGAGAAAACGCGUGAUUUUCGCUUAAAUGGUGGAUUUGCGAAGAGAAAACGCGUGAUUUUUCGCUUAAAUGGGGGAUUUGCGAAGAGAAAACGCGUGAUUUUCGGGUUAAAUGGGGGAUUUGCGAAGAGAAAACGCGUGAUUUUCGCUUAAAUGGGAGAUUUGCAAAGAGAAAAUGCGUGAUUUUCCCUUAAAUGGAAAAUUCUCGAAGAGAAAACGCGUGAUUUUUGCUUAAAUGGGGGAUUUGCGAAGAGAAAAUGCGUGAUUUUUAAGUUAAAGUGGGGAUUCUAAAGAGGAAACGCGUGAUUUUCGGGUUAAAUGGGGGAUUUGCGAAGAGAAAACGCGUGAUUUUCGCUUAAAUGGGGGAUUCUCGAAGAGAAAACGCAUGAUUUUUGGGUUAAAUGGGGGAUUCUCGAAGAGAAAACGCGUUAUUUUCGGCUUAAAUGGGGGAUUUGCGAAGAGAAAACGCAUGAUUUUCGCUUAAAUGGGGGAUUUGCGAAGAGAAAACGCGUGAUUUUCGCUUAAAUGGGGGAUUUGCGAAGAGAAAACGCGUGAUUUUUGCUUAAAUGGGGGAUUCUCGAAGAGAAAACGCGUGUUUUUCGGGUUCAAUGGGGGAUUCUCGAAGAGAAAACGCGUGAUUUUCGGGUUAAAUGGGGGAUUUGCGAAGAGAAAACGCGUGAUUUUCACUUAAAUGGGGGAUUCUCGAAGAGAAAACGCGUGAUUUUCGCUUAAAUGGGGGAUUUGCGAAGAGAAAACGCGUGAUUUUUGCUUAAAUGGGGGAUUUGUGAAGAGAAAACGCGUGAUUUUCGCUUAAAUGGGGGAUUUGCGAAGAGAAAACGCGUGAUUUUCGCUUAAAUGGGGGAUUUGCGAAGAGAAAACGCGUGAUUUUCGGUUAAAUGGGGGAUUUGCGAAGAGAAAACACGUGAUUUUUGCUUAAAUGGGGGAUUUGCGAAGAGAAAACGUGUGUUUUUCGGGUUCAAUGGGGGAUUCUCGAAGAGAAAACGCGUGAUUUUUGCUUAAAUGGGGGAUUUGCGAAGAGAAAACGCGUGAUUUUCACUUAAAUGGGGGAUUCUCGAAGAGAAAACGCGUGAUUUUCGGGUAACAUGGGGGAUUUGCGAAGAGAAAACGCGUGAUUUUUGCUUAAAUGGGGGAUUUGCGACGAGAAAACGCGUGAUUUUCGGGUUAAAUGGGGGAUUUGCAAAGAGAAAACGCUUGAUUUUCGGGUUAAAUGGGGGAUUUGCGAAGAGAAAACGCGUGAUUUUCGGGUUAAAUGGGGGAUUUGCGAAGAGAAAACGCGUGAUGUUCGCUUAAAUGGGGGAUUUGCGAAGAGAAAACGCGUGAUUUUCGCUUAAAUGGGGGAUUUGCGAAGAGAAAACGCGUGAUUUUUCGCUUAAAUGGGGGAUUUGCGAAGAGAAAACGCGUGAUUUUCGGGUUAAAUGGGGGAUUUGCGAAGAGAAAACGCGUGAUUUUCGCUUAAAUGGGAGAUUUGCAAAGAGAAAAUGCGUGAUUUUCCCUUAAAUGGAAAAUUCUCGAAGAGAAAACGCGUGAUUUUUGCUUAAAUGGGGGAUUUGCGAAGAGAAAAUGCGUGAUUUUUAAGUUAAAGUGGGGAUUCUAAAGAGGAAACGCGUGAUUUUCGGGUUAAAUGGGGGAUUUGCGAAGAGAAAACGCGUGAUUUUCGCUUAAAUGGGGGAUUCUCGAAGAGAAAACGCAUGAUUUUUGGGUUAAAUGGGGGAUUCUCGAAGAGAAAACGCGUUAUUUUCGGCUUAAAUGGGGGAUUUGCGAAGAGAAAACGCAUGAUUUUCGCUUAAAUGGGGGAUUUGCGAAGAGAAAACGCGUGAUUUUCGGUUAAAUGGGGGAUUUGCGAAGAGAAAACGCGUGAUUUUUGCUUAAAUGGGGGAUUUGCGAAGAGAAAACGUGUGUUUUUCGGGUUCAAUGGGGGAUUCUCGAAGAGAAAACGCGUGAUUUUCGGUUAAAUGGGGGAUUUGCGAAGAGAAAACGCGUGAUUUUCACUUAAAUGGGGGAUUCUCGAAGAGAAAACGCGUGAUUUUCGGGUUAAAUGGGGGAUUUGCGAAGAGAAAACGCGUGAUUUUUGCUUAAAUGGGGGAUUUGUGAAGAGAAAACGUGUGAUUUUCGCUUAAAUGGGGGAUUUGCGAAGAGAAAACGCGUGAUUUUCGGGUUAAAUGGGGGAUUUGCGAAGAGAAAACGCUUGAUUUUCAAGUUAAAUGGGGGAUUUACGAAGAGAAAACGCGUGAUUUUCGCUUAAAUGGGGGAUUCUCGAAGAGAAAACACGUGAUUUUUGCUUAAAUGGGGAAUUUGCAAAGAGAAAACGCGUGAUUUUCGGUUAAAUGGGGGAUUCUCGAAGAGAAAAUGCGUGAUUUUUGGCUUAAAUGGGGGAUUUGCGAAGAGAAAACGCGUGGUUUUCGGGUUAAAUGGGGGAUUUGUGAAGAGAAAACGCGUGAUUUUUGGGUUAAAUGGGGGAUUUGCGAAGAGAAAACGCGUGAUUUUCGCUUAAAUGGGGGAUUCUCGAAGAGAAAACGCGUGAUUUUCGGGUUCAAUGCGGGAUUCUCGAAGAGAAAACGCGUGAUUUUCGCUUAAUGGGGGAUUUGCGAAGAGAAUACGCGUGAUUUUCGGGUUAAAUGGGGGAUUCUCGAAGAGAAAACGCGUGAUUUUCGCUUAAAUCGGGGAUUUGCGAAGAGAAAACACGUGAUUUUCGGGUUAAAUGGGGGAUUUGCGAAGAGAAAACGCGUGAUUUUCGGUUAAAUGGGGGAUUUGCGAAGAGAAAACGCGUGAUUUUCGCUUAAAAUGGGGGAUUUGCGAAGAGAAAACGUGUGAUUUUCGCUUAAAUGGGGGAUUCUCGAGGAGAAAAUGCGAUAUUUUUGGUUAAAUGGGGGAUUUGCGAAAACGCGUUAUUUUCGGGUUUAAUGGGGGACUCUCGAAGAGAAAACGCGUGAUUUUUGCAUAAAUGGGGGAUUUGCGAAGAGAAAACACGUGGUUUUCGGGUUAAAUGGGGGAUUUGCGAAGAGAAAAUACGUGAUUUUCGCUUAAAUGGGGGAUUCUCCAAGAGAAAAUGCGUGAUUUUCGCUUAAAUGGGGGAUUUGCAAAGAGAAAACGUGUGAUUUUCGCUUAAAUGGGGGAUUUGCGAAGAGAAAACGCGUGAUUUUUGGUUAAAUGGGGGAUUCUCAAAGAGAAAACGCGUGAUUUUCGGGUUAAAAGGGGGAUUCUCAAAGAGAAAACGCGUGAUUUUCGCUUAAAUGGGGGAUUUGCGAAGAGAAAACGCGUGAUUUUUGCUUAAAUGGGGGAUUUGCGAAGAGAAAACGCGUGAUUUUCGCUUAAAUGGGGGAUUCUCAAAGAGAAAACGCGUGAUUUUCGGGUUAAAUGGGGGAUUUGCGAAGAGAAAACACGUGAUUUUUGCUUAAAUGGGGGAUUUGCGAAGAGAAAAUGCGUGAUUUUCGGGUUAAAUGGGGGAUUUGCGAAGAGAAAACGCGUGAUUUUUGCUUAAAUGGGGGAUUUGCGAAGAGAAAACGCGUGAUUUUUGGGUUAAAUGGGGGAUUUGCGAAGAGAAAACGCGUGAUUUUCGGGUUAAAUGGGGGAUUUGCAAAGAGAAAACGCGUGAUUUUCGGGUUAAAUCGGGGAUUUGCGAAGAGAAAACGCGUGAUUUUUGGGUUAAAUGGGGGAUUCUGCGAAGAGAAAACGCGUGAUUUUUCGCUUAAAUGGGGGAUUGCUCGAAGAGAAAAACGCGUGAUUUUGGCUUAAAUGGGGGAUUUGCGAAGAGAAAACGCGUGAUUUUCGG